This 518-nucleotide ribosomal RNA is filed under the name uncultured fungus. RNAcentral's name for it is "eukaryotic LSU rRNA". The stretch from base 175 to 328 matches the Rfam family "5.8S ribosomal RNA". The record is from RNAcentral. Lineage: Eukaryota; Fungi.
GGUUUCCGUAGGUGAUCCUGCGGAAGGAUCAUUACAGAAAGUAAACGCGGGUCAAACCGCGAACUUUUAAACCUUUGACGAUUGACUCAUGUUGCCUCGGCGGGUUCGCCCGCCAGAGGAUACAUCAAAACUCCUGUUUUAACGGUGUUGUCUGAGCUACAAGCAACGAAUCAAAACUUUCAACAACGGAUCUCUUGGUUCUGGCAUCGAUGAAGAACGCAGCGAAAUGCGAUAAGUAGUGUGAAUUGCAGAAUUCAGUGAAUCAUCGAAUCUUUGAACGCACAUUGCGCCCCUUGGUAUCCCGAGGGGCAUGCCUGUUCGAGCGUCAUUUCACCACUCAAGCCUGGCUUGGUGUUGGGCGACGUCCCCUUUGGGGAUGCGCCUCGAAACGCUCGGCGGCGUGGCACCGGCUUUAAGCGUAGCAGAAUCUUUCGCUUUGAAAGUCGGGGCCCCGUCUGCCGGAAGACCUACUCGCAAGGUUGACCUCGGAUCAGGCAGGGAUACCCGCUGAACUUAAG